Loxodonta africana (African savanna elephant) is the source of this 324-nucleotide unclassified non-coding RNA. Its record names the gene 7SK. It matches the Rfam family "7SK RNA". From Rfam's summary of the family: 7SK was discovered as an abundant small nuclear RNA in the mid-70s but a possible function has only recently been suggested. The record is from Ensembl. Lineage: Eukaryota; Metazoa; Chordata; Mammalia; Proboscidea; Elephantidae.
GGAUAUGAGGGUGAUCUGGCUGUGACAUCUGUCACCCCAUUGACCCCAUAGGGUUCAUUCAGCUAAUCUGACUGGCUAGGCAGGUGUCCCCUUCCUCCCUCACUGCUCCACGUGUCCCUCCCAAAGCUGCACACUUGACAGAAGAGGACAGCCUUCCCCUCAAGAGGUGGGCCGUUCUUUGGUCAAGGGUAUACGAGUAGCCACACUCUCCUGCUAGAACUUCCAAACAAGCUCUCAAGGUCCAUUUGUAGGAGAACGUAGAGUAGCCAAGCUUCCAAGACUCCAGACACAUCCAGAUGGUGCUGCAUGUGGCAGUUUGCCUUU